UACGUAGGUGGCAAGCGUUAUCCGGAAUUAUUGGGCGUAAAGCGCGCGCAGGUGGUUUCUUAAGUCUGAUGUGAAAGCCCACGGCUCAACCGUGGAGGGUCAUUGGAAACUGGGAGACUUGAGUGCAGAAGAGGAAAGUGGAAUUCCAUGUGUAGCGGUGAAAUGCGUAGAGAUAUGGAGGAACACCAGUGGCGAAGGCGACUUUCUGGGCUGUAACUGACACUGAGGCGCGAAAGCGUGGGGAGCAAACAGG
This 253-nucleotide ribosomal RNA is filed under the name uncultured bacterium. RNAcentral's name for it is "partial 16S ribosomal RNA". It matches the Rfam family "Bacterial small subunit ribosomal RNA", at positions 524 to 776 of the family's 1533-position model. The record is from RNAcentral.